UCUAGGUCUAGGUCCAGGUCCAGGUCCAGGUCUGCUCCAGGUCCAGGUCCAGGUCCAGGUCUAGGUCUAGGUCUAGGUCCAGGUCUAGGUCCAGGUCUAGGUCCAGGUCUAGGUCCAGGUCUAGGUCCAGGUCUGCUCGGUUCACUGAUCCUCUGCAGGAAAACAUCUCUGCUUCAGAGCAGGACACUUCAUCCACUUUAUUUGACCCCAUGUGACUUUGUUACUCUUGUUUAAUUCCUGCAAAAGAUCAGAAAUCUGAAGAAAAGUUGUGUGGCUUGCCUUUGCAGAGCUUCAUCUCCACAAAAUUGUGUGAGAAACUUCAAAACCAUCUUUUGUAUUUGUUGUUUUUUAGACAUUGUGUAGUCAGACAUCGUACUAGAAGACAAACCAGACUACCUGCUUCCUCACCCGUCCCGUCUGCUUCACUUCUUUCCUUGUUUCUUUAACGUUCCACUCCUCCACACACAUCUGUUUUGUAUAUUUAACAGUAACCUGUGUGAUGAUUAGUCAUUAUUUGUAAAUAAGCAUAAUACUAGUGAAUAUUAAGGUAUCUUGUUUCAUUUAUCAAAAUGCAAAACAAAUAAAUGUGUUU
Molecule: long non-coding RNA, 592 nt
Organism: Cololabis saira (Pacific saury)
Lineage: Eukaryota; Metazoa; Chordata; Actinopteri; Beloniformes; Belonidae
Exons: 3
Source: RefSeq, a predicted model, not a curated record